AACGCAAAUUGCGCUUGAGGCUUCGGCCAAAAGCAUGUCUGCCUCAGCGUCGGGUUAAUACUCGCUCCCUGUUCACCCAGGUGUGGCGGAACUGACUGUCUCGGCACUACUUCUAUAGUGUGCCGGGUUGGUUGAAGUAUGCAGUUGUUUUGGCGCACGUGGACCCGCCUUUAUGGUGGGUGUGCUUCCACUGGGUAGGCAAAUCCAAUUUGCUAAAUGCUUUAGUGGAUAGCUGAAUGCGUGUACGGCAAAACACAAAGCAGGAAAAUUAAUCCUAUUUUCUCGACCUGAGCUCAGGCAAGAUUACCCGCUGAACUUAA
This 320-nucleotide unclassified non-coding RNA is filed under the name uncultured fungus. Its description in RNAcentral is "partial contains 5.8S rRNA and ITS2". Lineage: Eukaryota; Fungi. The record is from RNAcentral.